RNAcentral lists this ribosomal RNA (525 nucleotides) under uncultured bacterium. RNAcentral describes it as "bacterial SSU rRNA". It matches the Rfam family "Bacterial small subunit ribosomal RNA", at positions 8 to 521 of the family's 1533-position model. The record is from RNAcentral.
AGAGUUUGAUCCUGGCUCAGGAUGAACGCUAGCUACAGGCUUAACACAUGCAAGUCGAGGGGCAGCAUGGAAGUUUGCUUGCAAACUUUUGAUGGCGACCGGCGCACGGGUGAGUAACACGUAUCCAACCUGCCUCAUACUCGGGGAUAGCCUUUCGAAAGAAAGAUUAAUACCCGAUGUCAUAGUCCUACCGCAUGAUGGGAUUAUUAAAGAAUUUCGGUAUGGGAUGGGGAUGCGUUCCAUUAGUUAGUUGGCGGGGUAACGGCCCACCAAGACAACGAUGGAUAGGGGUUCUGAGAGGAAGGUCCCCCACAUUGGAACUGAGACACGGUCCAAACUCCUACGGGAGGCAGCAGUGAGGAAUAUUGGUCAAUGGACGAGAGUCUGAACCAGCCAAGUAGCGUGAAGGAUGACUGCCCUAUGGGUUGUAAACUUCUUUUAUAUGGGAAUAAAACGUUCCACGUGUGGGAUUUUGUAUGUACCAUAUGAAUAAGGAUCGGCUAACUCCGUGCCAGCAGCCGCGGU